AUACGGAGGAUCCGAGCGUUAUCCGGAUUUAUUGGGGUUAAAGGGUGCGCAGGCGGCCAUUUAAGUCAGCGGUUAAAUCGUGGGGCUCAACCCCAUUCUGCCGUUGAUACUGGGUGGCUUGAUUGCGGUCGAGGUUGGCGGAAUUCGUUGUGUAGCGGUGCAAUGCAUAGAUAUGACGAAGAACUCCGAUUGCGUAGGCAGCUGACCAGACCGCAAAUGACGCUCAUGCACGAAAGUGCGGGGAUCGAACAGGAUUAGAUACCCUGGUAGUCCGCACAGUAAACGAUGAAUACUUGUUUUCGGCGAUAUAAUGUCGGAGGCAAAGCGAAAGCGAUAAGUAUUCCACCUGGGGAGUACGCCGGCAACGGUGAAACUCAAAUGAAUUGGCGGGG
Molecule: ribosomal RNA, 392 nt
Filed under: uncultured bacterium
Lineage: Bacteria
Description: partial 16S ribosomal RNA
Rfam family: Bacterial small subunit ribosomal RNA
Source: RNAcentral